UACAGAACAGAGAACCGAACGUA
Molecule: non-coding RNA, 23 nt
Filed under: Arabidopsis thaliana (thale cress)
Lineage: Eukaryota; Viridiplantae; Streptophyta; Magnoliopsida; Brassicales; Brassicaceae
Source: RNAcentral